This 91-nucleotide transfer RNA is filed under the name Enhygromyxa salina. RNAcentral describes it as "tRNA-Ala". Lineage: Bacteria; Pseudomonadati; Myxococcota; Nannocystales; Nannocystaceae. The record is from RNAcentral.
GGUGAUGUUGGCGAGGGUCUUGGCGCCGAGGCCGGCGACCUCGAGCAAGCGCUUGGGCUGACGCUCGAGCACCUCGAGCGUGUCGGUGCCA